CUUCAAGGAGGUAAAGAAGCACCACAGGGCCCUGCUGAGGAUGCUAAUAUGCCACCAUUGUCGGAGUCUUAGAGCGUGAGGACGCAGCGGAUGCUGAAACACAAAAGAAGGAAGAGGAAAAUACUAUCACAGUCUCAUUUGAGAUCAUACACUCAAGGACCUAAGGACUUUGCAGAAGGCCUCACCUCCAGAACUUCUCAGUAGCACCAUUCUGGGCACCUCUGACCUACAGACCGGGGGGACCUUCAACAUCCAUACCACAGAAACAAUACAAUAUCUGAUGAUUGCAUAAUUGGUAAAUCUGCUGGUUCCGUCCAACAUUAAUCCAGUUGGAGAGAGAAUACUGCUCCCCAGACACAGCAACAAGGAAGAGAAAUGAAAAGACGUUACCAGAGUUGAGUCAACCCCUGCACCCAGGAAAGCACGUGAGAAUCUUGGCCAAGAGAAAGCGUGUUGAAAGCAGGAGGAGGAUUAUUUGAGAAGAGGAAGAUGGCCAGUAGAAGUGGGAAAAGGGUCUGGGGAGGGUAAUGGGAGUGAAUCAUAUCGAAGCAUAUCACAUACAGGUCUGAGAAUGUCACAAUGAAACCUGUAAUUUUGUACAAUGAACAACCACUAAUAAAAAGAAGCAACACUGGACUAAACUCUCGUUUAAUAAAUUUAACUCUGGUACAUAUUCAAUA
This is a long non-coding RNA of Peromyscus californicus insignis, 680 nucleotides long. RefSeq lists it as uncharacterized. The transcript has 4 exons. The record is from RefSeq and is a predicted model, not a curated record. NCBI's taxonomy places the organism in Eukaryota, Metazoa, Chordata, Mammalia, Rodentia, Cricetidae.